This 210-nucleotide ribosomal RNA is filed under the name Triticum aestivum (bread wheat). Its description in RNAcentral is "partial small subunit ribosomal RNA". The record is from RNAcentral. Lineage: Eukaryota; Viridiplantae; Streptophyta; Magnoliopsida; Poales; Poaceae.
AAAGUUCCGAUUGAAAUAGGAUCUAAACAAGGAAGAGCACUUGCCAUUCGUUGGUUAUUAGAAGCAUCCCAAAAGUGUCCGGGUCAAAAUAUGGCUUUCAAAUUAUGUUCCAAAUUAGUAGAUGCUGCCAAAGGGAGUGGGGGUGCCAUACGCAAAAAGGAAGCAACUAUGGAAGGAGACCCAUCAUUUUGCAAUGAAAACAACAUAUAA